UGCAGCUUUGUCAAAUUCAGUGUUUCCUUUUUAGUGGACUACACUGGCCAAAAUGGCUGCAACAUCAAAUAAUUAGUCAAUGGGCCCCACAUUCUUAAAGUGGAGACUGGGGACAGAAAACUGACUAUGUACAUAU
This is a small nucleolar RNA of Paramisgurnus dabryanus, 136 nucleotides long. RefSeq annotates it as small nucleolar RNA SNORA5. The record is from RefSeq and is a predicted model, not a curated record. NCBI's taxonomy places the organism in Eukaryota, Metazoa, Chordata, Actinopteri, Cypriniformes, Cobitidae.